CUGCCCUUUGUACACACCGCCCGUCGCUACUACCCGAUUGAAUGGCUCAGUGAGGCGUCCGGACUGGCCCAGAGAGGUGGGCAACUACCACUCAGGGCCGGAAAGCUCUCCAAACUCGGUCAUUUAGAGGAAGUAAAAGUCGUAACAAGGUCUCCGUUGGUGAACCAGCGGAGGGAUCAUUACCGAGUUUACAACUCCCAAACCCCUGUGAACAUACCACUUGUUGCCUCGGCGGAUCAGCCCGCUCCCGGUAAAACGGGACGGCCCGCCAGAGGACCCCUAAAACUCUGUUUCUAUAUGUAACUUCUGAGUAAAACCAUAAAUAAAUCAAAACUUUCAACAACGGAUCUCUUGGUUCUGGCAUCGAUGAAGAACGCAGCAAAAUGCGAUAAGUAAUGUGAAUUGCAGAAUUCAGUGAAUCAUCGAAUCUUUGAACGCACAUUGCGCCCGCCAGUAUUCUGGCGGGCAUGCCUGUUCGAGCGUCAUUUCAACCCUCAAGCACAGCUUGGUGUUGGGACUCGCGUUAAUUCGCGUUCCUCAAAUUGAUUGGCGGUCACGUCGAGCUUCCAUAGCGUAGUAGUAAAACCCUCGUUACUGGUAAUCGUCGCGGCCACGCCGUUAAACCCCAACUUCUGAAUGUUGACCUCGGAUCAGGUAGGAAUACCCGCUGAACUUAAG
Molecule: ribosomal RNA, 678 nt
Filed under: Fusarium oxysporum
Lineage: Eukaryota; Fungi; Ascomycota; Sordariomycetes; Hypocreales; Nectriaceae
Description: eukaryotic LSU rRNA
Rfam family: 5.8S ribosomal RNA (bases 332-485)
Source: RNAcentral